AUGCCUCACCGCGACCCCACUCGCAGGUGCUGCCGUUACAUGACCCCUGUUCCUGGGGGAACCCAGAGGCCCCGACUGGCGGAGGAACUUACCCCAGGUCGGUCAGAUGGUCGCUAGUGAGGUCAGGAUUCAAACCCAGCGGACCCGCUGCAGGGUACCCUCCCCAGAUCCCAAACAAGAGGCUGCCUAGUGAAAAUUCAGGCAGACAUUCUGGGUCCCUUGAGUCCCACAUGAUUCGGACAACCAGCGAAAUCAGCGGCUUCUCAAAGUCUGGGGUUGCCUAUACAGAUUCCCGGGGCCCCGAAGUUCCGGAACCAGAACCCAGAGCCUGCAGCUGAGCGGCCACCUCAGGCCCGGCUGUGCAGAGGGGGCUCCCAAGGCAGGGGAUAGAGGCCCUGGACCGCACCCUG
Perognathus longimembris pacificus (Pacific pocket mouse) is the source of this 410-nucleotide long non-coding RNA. RefSeq lists it as uncharacterized. The record is from RefSeq and is a predicted model, not a curated record. The transcript is spliced from 3 exons. Lineage: Eukaryota; Metazoa; Chordata; Mammalia; Rodentia; Heteromyidae.